Aotus nancymaae (Ma's night monkey) is the source of this 67-nucleotide small nucleolar RNA. The record is from Ensembl. NCBI's taxonomy places the organism in Eukaryota, Metazoa, Chordata, Mammalia, Primates, Aotidae.
CUUCUGAUUGUAAAAACUGGGGGACCUCUUUCUUAAUGUCCAGUGACCUUUGUCUUAAGAUUUGGUG